Molecule: ribosomal RNA, 288 nt
Filed under: Triticum aestivum (bread wheat)
Lineage: Eukaryota; Viridiplantae; Streptophyta; Magnoliopsida; Poales; Poaceae
Description: partial small subunit ribosomal RNA
Source: RNAcentral
AUGGCGCCGCCCGCAAGAUCAUCGGCGCCUUUGUUCCUCCUCCUCGUUGUUCUCCUCGUCGCCGCACGGCGCUCCGCCGGUGACGAUGACUCUCCACCGCAGGUGCAGCCUUUGGACCCCAAGUGCCAGGAGAUGACGGAGAUGUGCACCCCGGCGACGUGCACCAAGCUCUGCCUCAGCAUAGGGCUGGGUAAAGACGCCGACGGCGGGUUCUGCACCUUCCAUGGCAUGCAGUUCUACUGCUGCUGCCCCAUACCCGCCCCCGUCCCGCCGCCCUCAAGGCUCUGA